UUCCUUCCACUCUUACAUUCAUUCCUGGCCUUAAAUUCUUGCAUGACUUGGGUUUCAACACCUCUAUUCAGUAUAAACCAUGAUGUUUUAUAUACAGUUAGAUUUCCUUUCUCCAAAUAGAUGGCUUCUUAUUUACUUUCAUAUUUCUCUGGAUCUUUCAUCUAGCAUUCUCUCACACUUCUUCUUCUUUAGGACUUAUUUUUGUUGAGUCCCGCCAUUAAAUUUUUUUGGUAAGGACACUAGAUAUUU
RNAcentral lists this long non-coding RNA (249 nucleotides) under Pan troglodytes (chimpanzee). Its description in RNAcentral is "long non-coding RNA NONPTRT011665". The record is from RNAcentral. Lineage: Eukaryota; Metazoa; Chordata; Mammalia; Primates; Hominidae.